This 73-nucleotide transfer RNA is filed under the name Strix occidentalis caurina (northern spotted owl). Its description in RNAcentral is "tRNA-Glu". It matches the Rfam family "tRNA". From Rfam's summary of the family: Transfer RNA (tRNA) molecules are approximately 80 nucleotides in length. Their secondary structure includes four short double-helical elements and three loops (D, anti-codon, and T loops). Further hydrogen bonds mediate the characteristic L-shaped molecular structure. tRNAs have two regions of fundamental functional importance: the anti-codon, which is responsible for specific mRNA codon recognition, and the 3' end, to which the tRNAs corresponding amino acid is attached (by aminoacyl-tRNA synthetases). tRNAs cope with the degeneracy of the genetic code in two manners: having more than one tRNA (with a specific anti-codon) for a particular amino acid; and 'wobble' base-pairing, i.e. permitting non-standard base-pairing at the 3rd anti-codon position. Lineage: Eukaryota; Metazoa; Chordata; Aves; Strigiformes; Strigidae. The record is from RNAcentral.
GUUUCUGUAGUUAAGGGUUUAUUAACGGCGGUUUUUCAGGCCGCAGACCUUGGAUAAUAUCCAAGUAGAAACU